Zingiber officinale is the source of this 108-nucleotide small nucleolar RNA. The record is from RefSeq and is a predicted model, not a curated record. NCBI's taxonomy places the organism in Eukaryota, Viridiplantae, Streptophyta, Magnoliopsida, Zingiberales, Zingiberaceae.
AGACCAUGGUGAGGACACUAUUUUAGUAAAUCUUUAAACUUGUCCCAUGCUUCAAAUAGUGAUUCUCCAUCUAUCUAAGCAAAAUUUGUGAUGCAAUUCCUCAUGUAC